AGAGUUUGAUCCUGGCUUAGGAUGAACGCUAGCUACAGGCUUAACACAUGCAAGUCGAGGGGUAGCAGGGUAGCAAUACCGCUGACGACCGGCGCACGGGUGAGUAACACGUAUCCAACCUUCCCAUAACUCAGGGAUAGCCUUUCGAAAGAAAGAUUAAUACCUGAUAGUACUUUUUCAAGGCAUCUUGAGAAAGUUAAAGAUUUAUUGGUUAUGGAUGGGGAUGCGUUCCAUUAGAUAGUUGGUGAGGUAACGGCUCACCAAGUCUUCGAUGGAUAGGGGGUUCUGAGAGGAAGGUCCCCCACAUUGGUACUGAGACACGGACCAAACUCCUACGGGAGGCAGCAGUGAGGAAUAUUGGUCAAUGGGCGAGAGCCUGAACCAGCCAAGUAGCGUGAAGGAAUGAAGGUCCUAUGGAUUGUAAACUUCUUUUAUAGUAGAAUAAAGUGAUCCACGUGUGGAUUUUUGUAUGUAUACUAUGAAUAAGGAUCGGCUAACUCCGUGCCAGCCGCCGC
This 515-nucleotide ribosomal RNA is filed under the name uncultured bacterium. Its description in RNAcentral is "bacterial SSU rRNA". It matches the Rfam family "Bacterial small subunit ribosomal RNA", at positions 8 to 518 of the family's 1533-position model. The record is from RNAcentral.